UCAGGACUUGACGGGGAUGUUAUCACAAGGCCCAACAAUGGCUUUACACUCAAUUACAUUUAUGGUUUCUCUGAUUCAUCUGAAUGUUUAUGGCUUUGUCACUACCUGGAAGCUAAGAAAAGAAAAAAUAAAAAUUUAAAAGGAAAAAAAACCCACCAAAACGCCCUGUAAUGAACAAUUUGCUGGUGCAAGAUGCUGGGUGACACAGGAGACACUGAGCAACUACUUUAGGUGGUGGGGAAGAGUCAUUUUCUGUGGUGACCAGAGCUAUAUUUGAUUUCUUAGGCAAUGUCAGCUUUUGCAUGCUACAUUCUUUGGCUAAUCGCCAGCGUGAUGUGUAAUACUUUAGCCACACUGUUGUUACUUAAUCCUUUCCUAAUCUGCAAUUUGCGCAAGAGGAGUAAAAUCUAAGCAAAGCCACUGAGAACAUCUCCACUAAUAAUUUAUCAAACUCAACUUUUGUUGUUGGCAGGAGACGGUAGUCAGUGGAGGUGAAUGUUUUCCCACAACAGCACUGUGUGAUAAACACAGGGCAGCUGAUUCAUGCCGCACUUAUUUUCUGUCAUCCACCCUUCGUGUCACCCUGAUAUUUCUUCGAACGAUAAGCCCAUGUGUGCGCUCACAACACACCGCCGAGGUCCCAGUUUCAUCUCUUUCUGCAAAUUACACAUUAAUUAACCAUUAAUAACAGUGGGAGUUGCAUGCAGAAAUCCACGCCCGCUGUGAUGAGACCGUGCCCUUGGUGAGCAAGUGCCUUAUUAAUCACCUGCAUUUCAGCGCUGGAGCUGCCUCCGCAGCCCUGCGAGACAAACGUUUGUCCCUGGAGAGGGAAGUGCACGGGCACUCGCCAGCCCUAAUCCUGCUGUAAAGAAAAGCGUUACCUCUUGCUCUAUGAAUUUUAUUUAUUUUGGUCCUCUGGGCAGUGCUUGCUGUUGUUAGAAACAUGAUUGCUUCAUACAGUUAUGUUAAUGUUUGCAUUUGACAGAAUGUAAUUGAUACUUCGGCUGCUCCGGCUUCAAAGCCAAAUUAGGAAAUAAAGUGCUGCACAUUAGCUUGUUUAGCUGGUUAAAUACUGUAAAUAAAUACAUACAGGGCAAUGAAAACUAAUGAGUUUUCUUUAAGGCAUUUUCUAAAUAGCUGGCUUCAUAAAAAAAAAACAACAACCAAAAACCUAUUCCUACUGUGAACUCAUAUCCUGAAGGAUUUGUCAUUUUGCUGCAACAAAAUUUGAUCCUGGCUGAAAUCUGAACUCUGGAUUUCACUUGGAGAACAGGAUUUUGCAAGUUAUGGAGGAAUCACGCAGCAAACGGACGAGGACUGAAGGCUCCCAGCACUUUUCAGAGAGGCCAGCUAUAUCUUGCGACUUCAAGAUGAAAAUGGUGACCAGGUCUGAGAAAUACAUAAAAGAUUCGUACAGUCCUAUUCUAAAAGGACCAUUUAAAAAUAGACAAAUUAUGACUCUCUCGAAAAGAAUUUAUGUAAAAGAAAUUAUGCAUUGCAUAAAUCAAAGUUCUCACACCCACCAUCAAAGUUUAAUCACUUAAUAUGCUGGUUCUUUCAACAUGCUCUGAAACUUUGUAUACAAUAAUACAAACGAUGGGGUAACGAAGCAAUAGCAAUUUAUUCUGCUGUACAAACGGAUGUUGCAUUAUAAUCCCUAAAGCAACACAGAGGCUGUUUGCAGAUGUUACUACAAUUUGACGUUUAUUUUAAUUGCUCUGCAGCGUAGCUCAUGUGAAAUAAAGUCAUGGGAUGACCUACA
This is a long non-coding RNA of Falco peregrinus (peregrine falcon), 1762 nucleotides long. RefSeq lists it as uncharacterized. NCBI's taxonomy places the organism in Eukaryota, Metazoa, Chordata, Aves, Falconiformes, Falconidae. The record is from RefSeq and is a predicted model, not a curated record. The transcript is spliced from 2 exons.